GGCUCUCUGACAAAAACAUAUAGAGAGUCGAACCUGCCCAGUGAACAGUUUAACGGCCGCGGUACCCUGACCGUGCAAAGGUAGCAUAAUCAUUUGCCUUAUAAUUGAAGGCUUGUAUGAAUGGUCUGACGAAAGCAAUACUGUCUCUUCUUUAUUAUCUAGAAAUUAACCUAUGGGUGAAGAGGCCUAUAUUAUAUUGAAGGACAAGAAGACCCUGUCGAGCUUUAGAGUAAAGCAGGAAUAUAAGUAUUAAAAAAAAAUCAAUGACUACAUAACUCUUUAGUUGGGGCGACUAAGGAACAAAUAAAGCUUCUUUUAGUUUUUUAGAUCAAUAAAUUUAGAUCCAGCAAAGCUGAUUAAAAGAAUUAGUUACCGCAGGGAUAACAGCAUAAUCUCUCUUGAGAGACCUAAUCGAAAGAGGGGGUUGUGACCUCGAUGUUGGACUAAAAUAUCCUGAAGAUGCAGACGUCUUCGAAGGUUGGUCUGUUCGACCAUUAAAAUUUU
Molecule: ribosomal RNA, 504 nt
Filed under: Melanoides tuberculata
Lineage: Eukaryota; Metazoa; Mollusca; Gastropoda; Thiaridae
Description: partial 16S ribosomal RNA
Rfam family: Bacterial large subunit ribosomal RNA
Source: RNAcentral